Fukomys damarensis (Damara mole-rat) is the source of this 3728-nucleotide RNA transcript. It is a transcript of the gene named PRELI domain containing 3A, with no coding region annotated. Lineage: Eukaryota; Metazoa; Chordata; Mammalia; Rodentia; Bathyergidae. The transcript is spliced from 6 exons. The record is from RefSeq and is a predicted model, not a curated record.
UACAGUCGUGCGCCACCAUGACUGGCUCGUGUGCUCAGUGUUUUGCAGUGCAUCGCUUUGGUUUUGGGGGUAAAUCCUGACUCCAAAUGGAGUGGUUAGCAUGCUCGUCUUCUCAGCUCUGACCAGUGUCACUUGUCAAACUCAGCACUCUUGGGCUUCUAUAACCACUGAACCUUUGAAAGGUUCUUCAAACCUUUCAGAACUCCUCCCAUGAGCCAGUUCAAAGGCUUCUAGACGUUGUGGUUCGGUACUCAUAAUACCAACCCCACUCCUGGUACCAACGUCUGUAACCGGUGACAGUUGGGUAAGUUAUUGUAAGGACCUGGUUAAACAUCCACAGGAUUACCUGCUAUAGCUAUUUGGAGUCAUGUUUUUGAAAAUGGCUUCAUGAUGUAAGUAAGUGUCUAUCUGUUAUAAAAAGUGGACAAUAAGCCCAUUAUUGAGUGUGAUCUCAGGUACUUUUUGUAGUGCGUGUGUGUACUUUGUGUGCACUUGUGUACUGUGUGUGUGUCCAGGCCUUGGGUCCAGGCUCAUCUACACCUGCUGUUCACCAUCGUCUGGGAGCGGUGGAGAGAAGACGCGUUGUGCGCAGUGGGGCUCACAGGCUUCUGGGUAGAGGUCUUAUGCAGAGCACUCAAGGGUAGGACUCCAGGGGACUUGCUGGUACCCUGGGUGGCCUGAGGGUCACAGGUGAACCCACUGUGGUGGCCCGACUCCCACAGUGGGUCUCAGCCUUAGGUCUCGGGCGCACUGAGCACAGGCUGUCCCGGCUUGGGCUCUGCAGUGGCAGGAGGUGAGCGGGGAGGUGCUGAACCCUCGCCCAGGGCUGUGCUGCAGGAGGGGCGUCCUGCAGGAAGCCUGGGGGCCGCAUGGAUGGCCAGGGAUGCGGCAGCCUGGGUAGCACAGGCAGGUGGGCACCGGGAGCUAGCGACCUGUGCGGCCCUGCUCGCGGCCGGGCCAUCCUCAGUGCCAAGGAGUCAGGGUGGUGUUGGUGUGGAUGUGAGUGCUACGUGCCUGCCUGGCUGCUGACAGAGUUAAGUGGGAAGUGGACUUAAGGCCUCUAAAUGUUUUCGUGUGUGUUUUUCUAAACCUUGAAUAUGUUUUUAUAAUCUAAAAAUGUGGCCGUUUAAGUUGUGCACGUUUAGAAAUGAGAACCAAGUACAGGUGCUCCCCACCUGCAGUGGGGUCCCGGCCCUCACGGAGCUGCUGCAUCCUAAACACAUGAACCUCCCUGGUCCUUUCUCCCCUGAGGCGCUGAGAGCCUUGGGAUGUCAAGCAGGUGCUCUCGGCUGUGCAGGUGGCUGGGGUGGAGGCCUGCUCUGUGCCUGGUGGCAAGGUGACUGUGCUGUUCUGUCCCCAUGCUCAGCAGGGACCACGAGCCCUGCGGAAAGUCAGGUCCGCCCGGUUCACCGCCGCUUGUCCGGGCUCCUGUCCCGUGGAGCAACACAGGCCUUCGCCUCUGGGGAUGGGCAGGGCCCAGAGGAGGGGAGGGCAGAGGGGCGCCUCCUGGACUCCACACUUCCUGCACUUGCUUUUCCACAGCCACCCGUGGGACACGGUGAUCAAGGCUGCUAUGAGGAAAUACCCAAAUCCCAUGAACCCCAGCGUGGUGGGUGUAGACGUCCUGGAGCGCGCCGUGGACUGCCGGGGGCGGCUGCACAGCCUGCGUCUGCUGAGCACCGAGUGGGGGCUGCCUGGCCUGGUCACCACGAUUUUGGGAACCAGUAGGACCCUAACGUAUAUCAAAGAGCGCUCUGUGGUGGACCCCUUGGAGAAGAAAAUGGAGCUUUGCUCUACCAAUAUCACACUGCGGAACCUGGUGUCAGUGAACGAGAGGCUGGUGUACGCCCCGCACCCAGAACACCCCGAGAAGACGGUGCUCACACAGGAGGCCGUCAUCUCUGUGGAGGGCACAGGCCUCGGCCGCUACCUGGAGAGCCUCAUGGCCAGCACCAUCUCAUCCAACGCCAGGAAGGGCUGGGCUGCCAUCGAGUGGGUCAUCCAGCACUCCGACAGCACCGUGAGCUAAGGACGCGCCUGUGACUGGGUCCCUACGGCCCCUGGACACCGUGUGCCUGGUAGAGACCCAGUGGGGCGACGCGGCUCUCCUUCAGCAGAGGUGACCCGACCUGAACGCAGCGCUCCGUACCCACCAAGGUGUCAAGUUUGCUUUCUGAGCCAUUUCCACUUUAACAGGUUCCAAGUGACGGCAAGAAGUGGCACUGAAUGCUUAUCAAACACUCCGGGUUUUUAAAAAAAGAUUUCACAUUACAUUGAUGACAGAGUCUAAGUUAAAGCCUGUGCUCUGAAUAAUUAUUCAAAGAGGGACCCUUUAAAACACUACCUGAGAAGUCCAUGGUCUUUAAACACUACGCUUCCGUCACUGUCACUGUUCACGAGGUCCCGGGACAGAGCACCCUGAGGGGCUCCUGUGGGGGCUGCAGGGCCCUGUUCCCAGCUGAUGGAGGCCCGGGAGCAGCCAUCGGCUGCCUGAAUCAGGGCGGCCACAGUGCAGAGCACGAGUGCCAGUUGUGAGCUGCAGGGGACAUCAAAGGCCAUGUUGCAGCCACAGUGACACGUGUGGGGCUCCGUCCUUUUGGGCCAAGCAGGGUGUUGUCUCCCAGCAGGAGCUGUGUUCCCCAGAGCCGUCCAGCAGGGCCCAGAAGCAGGCAGCCACCUUGAGGUGGGCCUGGCCAGCGACCGCUUUCCCUGCUGGACGGGGCUGGGGUGAAGUGGAGCCCUGCCGCUCUCCAAGUGUCAGCCUGCGGGUUUCAGGGGCCCGCUCCAAGUACAUGGGCCCUCGGUUCUGAUCCAGCUGAGGCUCAGGUGGUGACACCACACGGGCUGUGCCGUGGCCGGCGGCGGUAUCACCUUCGCCACAGCUGACUUCUGUUUUCCCAGAGCUGCGAUCUGCCACGGGCCACUUCAGGGUACAGAUUUUAACCGCACGUGUAACAAGAAACAAAGUACCUGACCCAUCGUAGUGUGGGAAUGUGCUGUGGGAUUUUUCCUUCUUAAUGCCUGCACUUCACCAGCUGUUUCUUCAGGAGAAAUGAGCCCAGAAAUAGAAUUCUGACACCGUAGUGUCACAGGCCCUAGGCUGUUUGGUGCAUGGGCGCCCCCUAGUGUCCCAGGGCCUCGGAGACUGUCUCCAGGCUACUCCUAAACCCUGACCCAGUCUCAGUGCCAUGUACAUAGCUGUACUGUGCUGUUUAGGGAAUUAAUAAAGGUCUGUGUGUGCUCAGCAGAGACGGAAUUAUUUUGGUCCACGUAUUCUUGAUCUGGAGUUGGCUGAGUCAGGCUGUGGAACCUGUGCCUGGGGUGGGGAUUGUGUGUGUGUGUUUGUGUCUGUGCACGCACUUGGGAAUCCCUGGACUCUACAGUCCCGGCGUUGCCUUUUGCUUCUGGCCUGGGUCUCGUGGGAGCACACGCCAGGCAGUGUGGGCCUCGUGCCGAGCAGGCGAUGGCAGGUGUCGCUGGAGAUCUACCUGUCCUGUGAGGCUGCCAGCCCUCGGCCGUCCUGGGCCUUGCAGUGUCCAGCUCCCUGCCUGUCAGGAAAGCCAUGGCCCUGAGCAGGCUUUAGGGACGGAAACUUCGUGCUCAUCUUGGGGUCAUCAGGCGAGUUUGCCUCCGACUCCGCCUCCCCUUGGAUGGCACAGGCUGGUGGCGGGGGGCUUGCAGCAUCGGUCUUCCCCGGAACACCCUCACCUCAGUCCCCAGGAGCAGAA